This 513-nucleotide ribosomal RNA is filed under the name uncultured bacterium. RNAcentral describes it as "bacterial SSU rRNA". It matches the Rfam family "Bacterial small subunit ribosomal RNA", at positions 18 to 518 of the family's 1533-position model. The record is from RNAcentral.
CCUGGCUCAGAUUGAACGCUGGCGGCAGGCCUAACACAUGCAAGUCGAACGGUAACAGGAAUCAGCUUGCUGAUUCGCUGACGAGUGGCGGACGGGUGAGUAAUGUCUGGGAAACUGCCUGAUGGAGGGGGAUAACUACUGGAAACGGUAGCUAAUACCGCAUAACGUCGCAAGACCAAAGAGGGGGGACCUUCGGGCCUCUUGCCAUCGGAUGUGCCCAGAUGGGAUUAGCUAGUAGGUGGGGUAACGGCUCACCUAGGCGACGAUCCCUAGCUGGUCUGAGAGGAUGACCAGCCACACUGGAACUGAGACACGGUCCAGACUCCUACGGGAGGCAGCAGUGGGGAAUAUUGCACAAUGGGCGCAAGCCUGAUGCAGCCAUGCCGCCGUGUAUGAAGAAGGCCUUCGGGUUGUAAAGUACUUUCAGCGGGGAGGAAGGGAGUAAAGUUAAUACCUUUGCUCAUUGACGUUACCCGCAGAAGAAGCACCGGCCAACUCCGUGCCAGCCGCGGC